GACGAACGCUGGCGGCGUGCCUAAUACAUGCGAGUUGAGUGCUGAAGGUUGGUACUUGUACCGACUGGAUGAGCAGCGAACGGGUGAGUAACGCGUGGGGAAUCUGCCUUUGAGCGGGGGACAACAUUUGGAAACGAAUGCUAAUACCGCAUAAAAACUUUAAACACAAGUUUUAAGUUUGAAAGAUGCAAUUGCAUCACUCAAAGAUGAUCCCGCGUUGUAUUAGCUAGUUGGUGAGGUAAAGGCUCACCAAGGCGAUGAUACAUAGCCGACCUGAGAGGGUGAUCGGCCACAUUGGGGCUGAGACACGGCCCAAACUCCUACGGGAGGCAGCAGUAGGGAAUCUUCGGCAAUGGACGAAAGUCUGACCGAGCAACGCCGCGUGAGUGAAGAAGGUUUUCGGAUCGUAAAACUCUGUUGGUAGAGAAGAACGUUGGUGAGAGUGGAAAGCUCAUCAAGUGACGGUAACUACCCAGAAAGGGACGGCUAACUACGUGCCAGCAGCCGCGGUAAUACGUAGGCCCCGAGCGUUGUCCGGAUUUAUUGGGCGUAAAGCGAGCGCAGGUGGUUUAUUAAGUCUGGUGUAAAAGGCAGUGGCUCAACCAUUGUAUGCAUUGGAAACUGGUAGACUUGAGUGCAGGAGAGGAGAGUGGAAUUCCAUGU
This 663-nucleotide ribosomal RNA is filed under the name uncultured Lactococcus sp. Its description in RNAcentral is "bacterial SSU rRNA". It matches the Rfam family "Bacterial small subunit ribosomal RNA", at positions 28 to 674 of the family's 1533-position model. Lineage: Bacteria; Bacillati; Bacillota; Bacilli; Lactobacillales; Streptococcaceae. The record is from RNAcentral.